This 240-nucleotide unclassified non-coding RNA is filed under the name soil metagenome. RNAcentral describes it as "partial contains 5.8S ribosomal RNA, internal transcribed spacer 2, and large subunit ribosomal RNA". The record is from RNAcentral.
AACAUCGCGCACCUGCGGGAACCUGCGGAGGGAUCAUUACAGAGUUGCAAAACUCCCUAAACCAUUGUGAACGUUACCUAAACCGUUGCUUCGGCGGGCGGCCCGGGUCCUUCCCGGCGCCCAUCGGCCCUCGCGGGCGCCCGCCGGAGGUAAACCAAACUAUUGCAUUGUAUGGCCUCUCUGAGUCUUCUGUACUGAAUAAGUCGAAACUUUCAACAAUGGAUCUCAGAUCGGAAGAGC